This 885-nucleotide long non-coding RNA is filed under the name Homo sapiens (human). RNAcentral describes it as "HSALNT0359935". Lineage: Eukaryota; Metazoa; Chordata; Mammalia; Primates; Hominidae. The record is from RNAcentral.
UCCGCCCCCGCGGUGGGAAAAGUGGGCGCCGGCGGCUGCUUCCCAGCCCUGCUGAACCGAAAGUUCUGGGUUUCAGCGGGAGAUGGGGGCGCGCCACCGCGACCAGGUGCAGGAGAGGAGGCCACUUCGCACAGAAUCAGCAACUGUCCAAUGGUCUGGCCCGCACAGCAGGAGUUGUGAGGUUCCCACGUGGCUGGGUACAAGGGGAACGUUCCAAAGCCCGUUGGUUGGUCUGUUGGAAUGUGGGGGCGGGUGGGGCUUCUGGACUGGGAAGUGCUGCGCACCUUCCCUCAUCUGCUGAGCGAUCUGGCUUCACUGCUUCAUGCUACACACCCGACAGCUGAAUAGUUUUCUCCAAAUCUCUUAUUUCCCGACUCCUUGGCCACCAUGUGUGAAGCUGAAGAUCAGACCAAAAGGGGAAGGGGUUAAAAUAUAAUAUCUGGGGUUCGACCAUUAAAAAGUUUAAAUUUACAGAUUGAACAGGAGAAUCUGGAACCAGGAGUGAGCAGAGCUGGCCCCAGGCCUUGGUGGCUGUGUACUAGUUCUGUGACCUGCAAUCAGUCACUUAACUUCUGUGAGCUCCUCUCUUUCCGUCUGUAAAAAAGGAAUAUGUACUACCCACUUCCUGAGUAGAUGUUGAAGAUGUUGUAAAAGGUUCGAGUCAACCAAUUAAAAGCAAUAGAUCACAUGAAGAUGAGUAUAUCUUCUGUUUGUUGGGACAUAAUCCAGAGAGGAUCUUUCUCCCCAGAUAUUAUGGGAUGGCCACAUUUUACAGCUGAGAGUGACUUUUGGCCAGAAGCCAACCUCAUCUGCUUGUGACAAAGCCUCCCUAGCAUGGCCGCCUACUUCCUCAAAGCCAGCCAGUGAGAACACCUGAUACUAUGA